This 350-nucleotide unclassified non-coding RNA is filed under the name Hevea brasiliensis (rubber tree). Lineage: Eukaryota; Viridiplantae; Streptophyta; Magnoliopsida; Malpighiales; Euphorbiaceae. The record is from RNAcentral.
AUUUUAUUUUCAAGGGAUUCUCUCUCCAGUCAAUCAAAUUCAAACUACUCAAUUGAUAUACUGUGUUUCCUUCAAAGUCGUCUUCUUCAAUUUUAUUGCUUUUAGUCUUUAUUUCUUGAUUCAUAUGGACAUGACCAUUCUUUUAGUGUUGAUAUUACUCAACUAGUCAAAGGAAGAUGCAUCUUCGUCGUCUAAAUAGAUUGUUUUUCAAAGCUAAAAAGUCAAUCUACUAGUGUCUUUGGUAAGGACUUUGGAUCGAUAUUCAUAGGUGACGUCUAUGUUCAUAGUAAAAAAAAAGAUACAAGAGUGAAUGUUGAGAAGGAGAAUGUACCUUCGUUUUCUAAAGUAAA